This is a long non-coding RNA of Physeter macrocephalus (sperm whale), 824 nucleotides long. RefSeq lists it as uncharacterized. The transcript is spliced from 3 exons. The record is from RefSeq and is a predicted model, not a curated record. NCBI's taxonomy places the organism in Eukaryota, Metazoa, Chordata, Mammalia, Artiodactyla, Physeteridae.
GCUUCCUAAAGGAAGAUAUCCUGGACUUCCCUGGUGGCAUAGUGGUUAAGAAUCUGCCUGCCAAUGCAGAGGACACGGGUUUGAUCCCUGGUCUGGGAAGAUCCCACAUGCCGUAGAGCAACAAAGCCCUUUCGCCACAACUACUGAGCUUGCAUUCUAGAGCCUGUGAGCCACAACUAGUGAGCCUGCGUUCCACAACUACCGAAGCCCGUGCGCCUAGAGCCCGUUCUCCACAACAAGAGAAGCCACCGCCAUGAGAAGCCCGUGCACCGCAAUGAAGAGUAGCCCCCGCUUGCCACAGCUAGAGAAAGCCCACACGCAGCGACAAGGACCCAAUGCCGCCAAAACAAAAACCAAAAAAAAGAUAUCCUGAGUCUGGAAGGGUUGAGGAGCCAGGGGAGAAGGGUGCGUGUGAAGGCCUUGGAGAAGGAUGGAGCAGAUGCCAGCAGACAUGGAAUGGCCUAGGUCCAAGAGCACGUGCGGAAAUCAGUAAAUCCAAUGGAAAAUUAAUGGCGGGACUUACCUGGUGGCACAAUGGUUAAGAAUCCGCCUGCCAAUGAAUAGGACAUGGGUUCAAGCCUUGGUCCGGGAAGAUCCCACAUGCCACGGAGCAGCUAAGCCCCUGUGUCACAACUACUGAACCUGUGCUCUAGAGCCCAUAAGCCACGACUACUGAGCCAGCGUGCGACAACUACUGAAGCCCACCCGCCUAGAGCCCGUGCUCUGCAACGAGAGAAGCCACCUCAAUGAGAAGCUCGCACACCGCAAGGAAGAGUAGUCCCCGCUCACUGCAACUAGAGAAAGCCCGCGUGCAGCAACAAAGA